GACGAACGCUGGCGGCGUGCUUAACACAUGCAAGUCGAGCGGUAAGGCCCUUUCGGGGGUACACGAGCGGCGAACGGGUGAGUAACACGUGGGUGACCUGCCCUCAGCUCUGGGAUAAGCCUGGGAAACCGGGUCUAAUACUGGAUAUGACUCCAUGACGCAUGUUGUGGGGUGGAAAGCCUUGUGCGGCUGAGGAUGGGCCCGCGGCCUAUCAGCUUGUUGGUGGGGUGANGGCCUACCAAGGCGACGACGGGUAGCCGGCCUGAGAGGGCGACCGGCCACACUGGGACUGAGACACGGCCCAGACUCCUACGGGAGGCAGCAGUGGGGAAUUUGCGCAAUGGGCGAAAGCCUGACGCAGCGACGCCGCGUGAGGGAUGACGGCCUGGUUGUAA
RNAcentral lists this ribosomal RNA (395 nucleotides) under uncultured bacterium. RNAcentral describes it as "bacterial SSU rRNA". It matches the Rfam family "Bacterial small subunit ribosomal RNA", at positions 28 to 428 of the family's 1533-position model. The record is from RNAcentral.